GACCGCGUAACUCAGUUGGCAGAGCAUUGGGCUAGUAUUCCAAAGGUCGUAGGUUCGAUUCCCACCGUGGCCA
RNAcentral lists this transfer RNA (73 nucleotides) under Paramuricea clavata. It matches the Rfam family "tRNA". Rfam says of the family: Transfer RNA (tRNA) molecules are approximately 80 nucleotides in length. Their secondary structure includes four short double-helical elements and three loops (D, anti-codon, and T loops). The record is from Rfam by way of RNAcentral. Lineage: Eukaryota; Metazoa; Cnidaria; Anthozoa; Malacalcyonacea; Plexauridae.